CCUACGGGAGGCAGCAGUGGGGAAUAUUGGACAAUGGGCGGAAGCCUGAUCCAGCAACGCCGCGUGAGGGAUGACGGCCUUCGGGUUGUAAACCUCUUUCAGUAUUGACGAAGCGCCCGUGUGGGUGGUGACGGUAGGUACAGAAGAAGCACCGGCCAACUACGUGCCAGCAGCCGCGGUAAUACGUAGGGUGCGAGCGUUGUCCGGAAUUAUUGGGCGUAAAGGGCUCGUAGGCGGUUUGUCGCGUCGGGAGUGAAAACACUGGGCUUAACCGAGUGCUUGCUUCCGAUACGGGCAGACUUGAGGCAUUGAGGGGAGAACGGAAUUCCUGGUGUAGCGGUGAAAUGCGCAGAUAUCAGGAGGAACACCGGUGGCGAAGGCGGUUCUCUGGCAAUGUUCUGACGCUGAGGAGCGAAAGUGUGGGGAGCGAACAGGAUUAGAUACCCUGGUAGUCCACACCGUAAACGUUGGGCGCUAGGUGUGGGGCCUAUUCCAUGGGUUCCGUGCCGCAGCUACGCAUAAGCGCCCGCCCGUCGGGAGGUACGGCCGGCGACGGACGUAAACCUACGAAACGGAAAGUUAGACGGCGUGAGACGUGCCCGAACGGACGACCGACCGAGGGGAGGUAGG
This 630-nucleotide ribosomal RNA is filed under the name uncultured bacterium. RNAcentral's name for it is "bacterial SSU rRNA". The stretch from base 1 to 531 matches the Rfam family "Bacterial small subunit ribosomal RNA", at positions 338 to 873 of the family's 1533-position model. The record is from RNAcentral.